This is a long non-coding RNA of Gallus gallus (chicken), 1171 nucleotides long. The record is from Ensembl. NCBI's taxonomy places the organism in Eukaryota, Metazoa, Chordata, Aves, Galliformes, Phasianidae.
CAAAAUAUGGAAAAGAGGAGAGAGGAGACAGAGCAGAGAUUAGAGGCUGGAAACAUUUUCACAGCAGUAUCUUGUCAGCUUUCCAGCACACUCUGGCUUAUUGAGAUCCAAACACUCACAGCUGGUGCAUAUUUUAAUGCCAAAUGACUGGCAUGGCUGAAAUUGGAAUUCACAGUCUCUCGAUGCUCUGUACUAGCACAUUUAGUCAGCACAUUACUUUGUGUGACUCUUCUAAAGUUACAUUUCAAUGAGGGCAUUUUCAUGGAGGCACUGUGAACUUGCAUGGGAGAGUAUAUGGUUUGGUGUGCCAAGUGUCUGAUUAAAAUUAGAAGUAAGAAAACAUGAAAAGCCCUGCUAAUUUACUGCCCUAAAAUUGUCAAUUACAGCAGUGCUAAGCAGUCUGGAAACAGCUCCUGUUCUUCCAAAAGCAGAACAGUGCUAACUCCAAGGCAAAAGAAAGAAGGGGAAAUGUUUGUCAACUCUAUCCAAUGGCUGGUCACAUAGUAAUUGGGAGAAUUUGCAACUGAACUCCUUACUAAAAUCACACGCAGCAGUGAUUUCCAGGAAUGCAGUGAUGUCCAGGAAGGCACUGAUGUCCAGGAAGGACCAUAUUCCAUGGUCUUUGGAGAGAUCUUGUCGUUACUUGCCUGCUGAAUUUAGGAUCUUUGUUACCUUAAUCCUAAAUAAAACUGCUCUUAAAACGUCAUUCAAGGCCCUUUUUCAGUAUUUGUUUACCCUGAGCUGUUCUGAGGUUCUUACAAGACAUGUACACCUUUGUGCAAGUGGAAAACAUGAUUUAUUUGUAUGUCUCCUGGAUUCUUCUGUCUUGACAUGCUCCUUGAUGCAGCCUUUGAUUAUUUCAACUUAUGAACAGUCAAGAGUCCAAUGUUAAGGAAUUAUUAUACAGCAAAAAUAAUAACAAAUGAAUGAGUAGAAUUUCAGCUGUGAUCCAGAUCAGUUCUACAGAUGACAGCAAAAGGGCAGUCUGACAAAACUGCGUCUGACAUGGAAGUGUUUAUGAAGAACCAGUAUGGAAUUGAAUUCCUCCAUGCAGAAAAAAUGGCGCCCACUGACAUUCAUUGACACUUGCUGUAGGAUGUGAGCACAGUGAGGGGUGGACGGUGCAUUUCAGCAAUGGUGACAGCGCCAUGAAAGACAAGCCACAUUCCAG